RNAcentral lists this ribosomal RNA (571 nucleotides) under uncultured Gammaproteobacteria bacterium. RNAcentral describes it as "bacterial SSU rRNA". It matches the Rfam family "Bacterial small subunit ribosomal RNA", at positions 97 to 663 of the family's 1533-position model. The record is from RNAcentral. Lineage: Bacteria; Pseudomonadati; Pseudomonadota; Gammaproteobacteria.
GGCGGACGGGUGAGUAAUGCAUAGGAAUUUGCCUUGAAGUGGGGGAUAGCCCGGAGAAAUCCGGAUUAAUACCGCAUGUGCUCUACGGAGCAAAGUGGACCUCUGAUUUAAGUUCACGCUUUGAGAUAAGCCUAUGUCGGAUUAGCUAGUUGGUAGGGUAAAAGCCUACCAAGGCGACGAUCCGUAGCUGGUUUGAGAGGAUGAUCAGCCACACUGGGACUGAGACACGACCCAGACUCCUACGGGAGGCAGCAGUGGGGAAUAUUGGACAAUGGGCGCAAGCCUGAUCCAGCAAUGCCGCGUGUGUGAAGAAGGCCUGCGGGUUGUAAAGCACUUUUAUCGGGAAAGAAAAUCACAGGGUUAAUACCCCUGUGCCUUGACGGUACCCGAAGAAUAAGCACCGGCUAACUCAGUGCCAGCAGCCGCGGUAAUACUGAGGGUGCAAGCGUUAAUCGGAAUUACUGGGCGUAAAGCGAGUGUAGGCGGCUCCGUAAGUCGGAUGUGAAAGCCCCGGGCUUAACCUGGGAAUUGCAUUCGAUACUGCGCGGCUAGAGUUUGAUAGAGGGAAGUG